RNAcentral lists this ribosomal RNA (856 nucleotides) under uncultured Streptococcus sp. RNAcentral describes it as "bacterial SSU rRNA". It matches the Rfam family "Bacterial small subunit ribosomal RNA", at positions 30 to 868 of the family's 1533-position model. The record is from RNAcentral. Lineage: Bacteria; Bacillati; Bacillota; Bacilli; Lactobacillales; Streptococcaceae.
CGAACGCUGGCGGCGUGCCUAAUACAUGCAAGUAGAACGCUGAAGAGAGGAGCUUGCUCUUCUUGGAUGAGUUGCGAACGGGUGAGUAACGCGUAGGUAACCUGCCUUGUAGCGGGGGAUAACUAUUGGAAACGAUAGCUAAUAGCGCAUAACAAUGGGUGACACAUGUCAUUUAUUUGAAAGGGGCAAUUGCUCCACUACAAGAUGGACCUGCGUUGUAUUAGCUAGUAGGUGAGGUAACGGCUCACCUAGGCGACGAUACAUAGCCGACCUGAGAGGGUGAUUGGCCACACUGGGACUGAGACACGGCCCAGACUCCUACGGGAGGCAGCAGUAGGGAAUCUUCGGCAAUGGGGGCAACCCUGACCGAGCAACGCCGCGUGAGUGAAGAAGGUUUUCGGAUCGUAAAGCUCUGUUGUAAGUCAAGAACGAGUGUGAGAGUGGAAAGUUCACACUGUGACGGUAGCUUACCAGAAAGGGACGGCUAACUACGUGCCAGCAGCCGCGGUAAUACGUAGGUCCCGAGCGUUGUCCGGAUUUAUUGGGCGUAAAGCGAGCGCAGGCGGUUUGAUAAGUCUGAAGUUAAAGGCUGUGGCUCAACCAUAGUUCGCUUUGGAAACUGUCAAACUUGAGUGCAGAAGGGGAGAGUGGAAUUCCAUGUGUAGCGGUGAAAUGCGUAGAUAUAUGGAGGAACACCGGUGGCGAAAGCGGCUCUCUGGUCUGUAACUGACGCUGAGGCUCGAAAGCGUGGGGAGCGAACAGGAUUAGAUACCCUGGUAGUCCACGCCGUAAACGAUGAGUGCUAGGUGUUGGAUCCUUUCCGGGAUUCAGUGCCGCAGCUAACGCAUUAAGCACU